CCUACGGGAGGCAGCAGUGAGGAAUAUUGGUCAAUGGGCGUAAGCCUGAACCAGCCAAGUCGCGUGAGGGAUGAAGGUUCUAUGGAUCGUAAACCUCUUUUAUAAGGGAGUAAAGUGCGGGACGUGUCCCGUGUUGUAUGUACCUUAUGAAUAAGGAUCGGCUAACUCCGUGCCAGCAGCCGCGGUAAUACGGAGGAUGCGAGCGUUAUCCGGAUUUAUUGGGGGUAAGGGGUGCGUAGGCGGAGGGGUAAGUCAGUGGUCAAAUUGAGGGGCUCAACCCCUUACCGCCAUUGAAACUGGGGCUCUUGAGUGGAAGAGAAGUAUGCGGAAUGCGUGGUGUAGCGGUGAAAUGCAUAGAUAUCACGAAGAACCCCGAUGGCGAAGGCAGCAUGCCGGCUUCCGACUGACGCUGAAGCACGAAAGCGUGGGGAUCGAACAGGAUUAGAUACCCCUGUAGUC
This 459-nucleotide ribosomal RNA is filed under the name uncultured bacterium. RNAcentral's name for it is "partial 16S ribosomal RNA". It matches the Rfam family "Bacterial small subunit ribosomal RNA", at positions 338 to 795 of the family's 1533-position model. The record is from RNAcentral.